RNAcentral lists this ribosomal RNA (512 nucleotides) under uncultured bacterium. Its description in RNAcentral is "partial 16S ribosomal RNA". It matches the Rfam family "Bacterial small subunit ribosomal RNA", at positions 899 to 1397 of the family's 1533-position model. The record is from RNAcentral.
ACUCAAAUGAAUUGACGGGGGCUCACACAAGCGGUGGAGCAUGUGGCUUAAUUCGAGGCUACGCGAAGAACCUUAUCCCGGACUUGACAUGUGCGAAAGCGCCCGGUGGUAGGACCCGGAAACGGGAACGGACCCCGCAAGGGGGGGCCGGGCACAGGUGCUGCAUGGCUGUCGUCAGCUCGUGUCGUGAGAUGUCGGGUUAAGUCCCAUAACGAGCGAAACCCCUACCCUGAGUUGCAACCGCAAGGGCACUCUCGGGGGACUGCCGGUGUCAAACCGGAGGAAGGUGGGGAUGACGUCAAGUCCUCAUGGCCUUUAUGUCCGGGGCUGCACACGUGCUACAAUGGCGUGAACAGAGGGAUGCGACCCCGCGAGGGGAAGCCAACCCCACAAAGCACGCCCCAGUUCAGAUCGCAGGCUGCAACUCGCCUGCGUGAAGCCGGAAUCGCUAGUAAUCGCGGGUCAGCAACACCGCGGUGAAUGUGUUCCUGAGCCUUGCACACACCGCCCGU